AGAGUUUGAUCCUGGCUCAGAUUGAACGCUGGCGGAAUGCUUUACACAUGCAAGUCGAACGAUGAACCUUAGCUUGCUAGGGGGAUUAGUGGCGAACGGGUGAGUAAUAUAUCGGAACGUGCCUUGUAAUGGGGGAUAACUAGUCGAAAGAUUAGCUAAUACCGCAUACGCCCUGAGGGGGAAAGUAGGGGAUCUUCGGACCUUACGUUAUAAGAGCGGCCGAUAUCUGAUUAGCUAGUUGGUGGGGUAAUGGCCUACCAAGGCUUCGAUCAGUAGCUGGUCUGAGAGGACGACCAGCCACACUGGAACUGAGACACGGUCCAGACUCCUACGGGAGGCAGCAGUGGGGAAUUUUGGACAAUGGGCGAAAGCCUGAUCCAGCCAUUCCGCGUGAGUGAAGAAGGCCUUCGGGUUGUAAAGCUCUUUCGCAAGGGAAGAAAACUUACAUUCUAAUAAAGUGUGAGGCUGACGGUACCUUGAUAAGAAGCACCGGCUAACUUCGUGCCAGCAGCCGCGGUAAU
This 521-nucleotide ribosomal RNA is filed under the name uncultured bacterium. Its description in RNAcentral is "bacterial SSU rRNA". It matches the Rfam family "Bacterial small subunit ribosomal RNA", at positions 8 to 524 of the family's 1533-position model. The record is from RNAcentral.